AGAGAGGAUAUGCCAUUCACCAUUGCUGAUUGAAAUCGCGCUAGCCUUGCAGAGCGUGUGCAUAUUCGCUACUGGACAGGGAUUCUGUCUAUGACCGCUGUCAGAUGAGCACCAAGUUCUGCAAGGUCAAAGUUGAGGAGACUACGGCCAGCGAGCCUUCUUCUGUUGCCGAUGCGAUAGAAGCCUUCCUCGUGAAUGUAAGCUUCUGAUCUCUGGUACUCCCUUUUACAGCCCCACUUUGCCAUUUGGAACUGUCAGCGCGAUUUCCCAAGCACUUGGAUGUCGCAAUCAGGGCAUGUGAUCUGACCGAACAAAAAGCUCUGGAAAGUCCUUUUUAGUCCUCUCAUAUUACGCUGUGUUGCUUUACAGGAUCCAGAUAUUGGGCAGGAUGUAGUGGACAAUUUGAGGGCUGCAGCAUCCACCCUGCGCUCAUUGCAAGGUCUUUCACCUCUCAUCUUCUCCUUGUUUCAUCUGAAACGAAGUGGAAGUAAUGCGGCAUUGCAUUUCAGAGUGUUGCAAUUGCUGAAACUAUUGCAUUCUGCACAAACGUCCCUCGCCCUAAUGAGGACGUGUUGUACAGGGGAGAAUUUUGUGCUGGACGCAAAGUCGUCAAAGAGCAAGCUGAAGCUGAAGGCCAAGGGGGCAAGGAUGCAGAGCGCAUAGUCCUCAACGCAGUACCAGCCAAAAUUUUGGGGAAGGUAGAGGGGAUGUGAUCGGGUAAUCCUUGAUCUGCUGCGGGAUCAGGACAAUAUUGACAUGCAUCCACUGCUCUUGUGUGAGAUUGGAAUGUUGCAUCUUGAGAUGCUUGACAGGACUGGAUAAUGUAGGGAAGUUAGCCUAAGUAGAGGGAGGUAUAGGCUACCUGGGGUAUACAGAUAACGUGACCCGAAGACAUCUGUGAUUUUUUCUUAUGUUGCGUGCCCGUCGGACAUGUCAUGACUUGAUGCUAUGACUUUAUAUUUGUUAGGACCAGCUGUGACAGCAUCUGUGUGGUCACCACCGUGGUCGUGAGCUUUCUGCAUGGUUGAUCCGAUCACUCUAGCUAGGAUGAUAAUUUAAUACCGUAAUAGGAAUUCCUAUCUUCGAAGACAAGAAUGACUUGCAGGGAUCCCUCCGGAGUCAACUGCUGAUCUGUGACAUAAUGUAAUAUAUUCCAAGUUGAAUAGCAUGUGAAGUGCUGCUUGAGGGGCCAGCUUGAAUGACAUGGGAUUCACCUUUUGUCGCAAAGGGGCCCGGGGCCGUGGCCAUGCCAUAUUCCACAACUGCAAAUAUCAAAUGCCUGAUCAUGUGACAUUGCAGUGAAAGCUUAUAAAGGCCUCAAGAGCUCGAAAAUAGGGUCAAGAUUUCUUAAAGCUUCAAAGCUUAUAAGAGCGUUGCCUACCCUGUAGAAGCCUCUUAAGAACGUGACCAACAAGACCGGUCUAAGCAUGAGACUGGUCCUAGCCUGCGGGCUUGCCAAACACUGUCUCUUCUCCGCGUUGCGCUCCCAGCAAUGUGCUGACACUAGACAUGCACGCCAGCACAGACUCUCACUGAAGGCAAAUCUGCAGCUCGGUUGCAAUUGCCUUCCCCGACCUAAAAUUCAUCUCUUGGGCUCUCAACUCUAGUUUUGCGGUCUCAUACGUGCGCACUCCAGGGGACCACUCUCUCAAUUCCCGGUACUUGAUUCUUGAUGUACAUGGCCUCCUGGUAGGAAGGCAUGGCAUUCAUUCACAGCCACCGCUGCACAACAGAUCGGAUCAUGGCAAUUAGUGGGUUUGCAGCGCGGGCAGAUCUUGCCACGCUUCGCCUCUGCUGUGGUUGCUAGACUGUCACGGGGGUCUUUGCCGGCUCCGCUGCAAAG
This 1843-nucleotide long non-coding RNA is filed under the name Coccomyxa subellipsoidea. RNAcentral describes it as "long non-coding RNA (CSUB_LNC000720)". Lineage: Eukaryota; Viridiplantae; Chlorophyta; Trebouxiophyceae; Coccomyxaceae. The record is from RNAcentral.